Molecule: unclassified non-coding RNA, 218 nt
Filed under: Hevea brasiliensis (rubber tree)
Lineage: Eukaryota; Viridiplantae; Streptophyta; Magnoliopsida; Malpighiales; Euphorbiaceae
Source: RNAcentral
GAGGUGCACCCCAAGUGUGUUAGACCUGUGGACUUUGGCUCCAUGCUUGAGAGAUGAACAAACUAGCUAGCUCUAUUAAGCUAAUUAACGUUUUGCUAAUUCAACUGUGGUGUGUAGAUGUGUGUUCAUUUUGCUUUGGACUGUGGAUUUGGCUUUUAAGUUCAGUAUAAGCUAGCAAAUCGAGUUUCAGGUUAGAUUUUAUUAGAGCUAAUUAUUAA